UACGUAGGAUCCAAGCGUUGUCCGGAUUUACUGGGUGUAAAGGGUGCGCAGGCGGACUGGUGAGUCUGGGGUGAAAUCUCGCUGCUUAACAGCGAAACUGCCUUAGAUACUAUCAGUCUUGAAUCAGCGAGAGGUUCGUGGAAUUCCGAGUGUAGCAGUGAAAUGUGUAGAUAUUCGGAAGAACACCAGUGGCGAAGGCAGCGAACUGGCGCUCGAUUGACGCUCAGGCACGAAAGCAUGGGGAUCAAACAGG
This 253-nucleotide ribosomal RNA is filed under the name uncultured bacterium. RNAcentral describes it as "partial 16S ribosomal RNA". It matches the Rfam family "Bacterial small subunit ribosomal RNA", at positions 524 to 776 of the family's 1533-position model. The record is from RNAcentral. RNAcentral also lists the same sequence under 1 other name.